UGCCAGCCGCCGCGGUAAUACGGAGGGGGUUAGCGUUGUUCGGAAUUACUGGGCGUAAAGCGCUCGUAGGCGGAUUGGUCAGUCAGAGGUGAAAGCCCAGGGCUCAACCUUGGAAUUGCCUUUGAUACUGCCAGUCUUGAGUUCAGGAGAGGUAAGCGGAAUUCCGAGUGUAGAGGUGAAAUUCGUAGAUAUUCGGAGGAACACCAGUGGCGAAGGCGGCUUUCUGGACCAAUACUGACGCUGAGAUGCGAAAGCGUGGGGAGCGAACAGGAUUAGAUA
RNAcentral lists this ribosomal RNA (279 nucleotides) under uncultured bacterium. RNAcentral describes it as "partial 16S ribosomal RNA". It matches the Rfam family "Bacterial small subunit ribosomal RNA", at positions 506 to 784 of the family's 1533-position model. The record is from RNAcentral.